AGGCGCUAUAAUGGGAUGCUUACAAAAAAGGUGCAAGGGUGUAAGCGAUGCCGGGAUAUGAGGGAUGCAGGAAUGUGAGGAAUACCGGGAUGUGAGGAAUGCGGGGAUGUAAGGAAUGCAGAGAUGUGAGGAAAUUCUGUAUAAGACCCCCGACCGACCCCUGUGGCAAGGCGGCGGGGAAGUGUCAGAUUCCUAUUGACUAAAACCCCACGGCGACCGACUUUGGCGCCAAUCAAGUGGUCAUCAUUCAACGAACGUCUUAAAGUUAACGCAAAUAAUCUUUACUUUGAAUUUUUAACAAAAAUUUAAUGCUCGAUCGAUACUGUGGUACUAUCAUUGUAAGAGUAUAUAACAUUUUUCUGCCUUGCAUGUACAUAAUUUGUUAAUAAAGAUAUACUUUUAAUAUUAAA
Molecule: non-coding RNA, 410 nt
Organism: Osmia lignaria (orchard mason bee)
Lineage: Eukaryota; Metazoa; Arthropoda; Insecta; Hymenoptera; Megachilidae
Source: RefSeq, a predicted model, not a curated record